RNAcentral lists this ribosomal RNA (253 nucleotides) under uncultured bacterium. Its description in RNAcentral is "partial 16S ribosomal RNA". It matches the Rfam family "Bacterial small subunit ribosomal RNA", at positions 524 to 776 of the family's 1533-position model. The record is from RNAcentral.
UACGAGGGGUGCAAACGUUAUUCGGAAUUACUGGGUGUAAAGGGUACGUAGACGGCAUAUUAAGUCAAUUGUUAAAUUUCUCAGCUUAACUGAGAGUAAGCGGUUGAAACUAAUAAGCUAGAGGAUGAGAGAGAGAAGUGGAAUUCUCGGAGUAGCGGUAAAAUGCGUAGAUGUCGAGAGGAACACCGAUGGCGAAGGCAGCUUCUUGGCUCAUACCUGACGUUGAGGUACGAAAGCGUGGGGAGCAAACAGG